Molecule: ribosomal RNA, 532 nt
Filed under: uncultured archaeon
Lineage: Archaea
Description: bacterial SSU rRNA
Rfam family: Archaeal small subunit ribosomal RNA
Source: RNAcentral
GCGGUAACACCGGCGGCCCGAGUGGUGAUCGUGAUUAUUGGGUCUAAAGGGUCCGUAGCCGGUUGGUCAGUCCUCCGGGAAAUCUGAUAGCUCAACUAUUAGGGCUUUCGGGGGAUACUGCCAGACUUGGAACCGGGAGAGGUAAGAGGUACUACAGGGGUAGGAGUGAAAUCUUGUAAUCCCUGUGGGACCACCUGUGGCGAAGGCGUCUUACCAGAACGGGUUCGACGGUGAGGGACGAAAGCUGGGGGCACGAACCGGAUUAGAUACCCGGGUAGUCCCAGCCGUAAACGAUGCUCGCUAGGUGUCAGGCAUGGCGCGACCGUGUCUGGUGCCGCAGGGAAGCCGUGAAGCGAGCCACCUGGGAAGUACGGCCGCAGGGCUGAAACUUAAAGGAAUUGGCGGGGGAGCACAACAACGGGUGGAGCCCUGCGGUUUAAUUGGACUCAACGCCGGACAACUCACCGGGGGCGACAGCAAUAUGUAGGCCAAGCUGAAGACUUUGCCUGAAUCGCUGAGAAGAGGUGCAUGG